Molecule: microRNA precursor, 61 nt
Filed under: Blattella germanica (German cockroach)
Lineage: Eukaryota; Metazoa; Arthropoda; Insecta; Blattodea; Blattellidae
Description: Bge-Mir-76_pre stem-loop
Rfam family: mir-981 microRNA precursor family
Source: RNAcentral
CGGGUUUCGCGACGAUUGAGCCGGAUAAAGUUGAACAGGUUCGUUGUCGACGAAACCUGCA